RNAcentral lists this small RNA (1475 nucleotides) under Arabidopsis thaliana (thale cress). RNAcentral describes it as "ATSL033600". The record is from RNAcentral. Lineage: Eukaryota; Viridiplantae; Streptophyta; Magnoliopsida; Brassicales; Brassicaceae.
AGAAUUUCUUAAACAUGGUAUGGGUUGAAAAACCUUAGGCCGUGUUUGUGAGGAACGAUGUUCGCGGAUGGACUGACCUUGGUACCAGAUGUGUUCUGGGAACUCGGUCGGAUCGUCUACGAGCGUCACAAGUAACGCUUCCGGAUUCGUUCUUAGUCCUAAAACGGUUCGGGGGUGUUACAGCAGGAGGUGCAAUUCCUUUCAUCUGGCAGUGAUCCCUUGGUGCAUCCCGAGCACCAAUGUUUGCAGGGCCAUUCUGUUGAUUUUGUUCGUCAGCCAUUUGGAGUGGUUGCUGGGGUACAAGGUUGACAGUGUUUCUCCUUUCUCUGAGUUCGCGAGCUAUGCGGUCAAUGUUAUCGUUGAACAAGAGGUUCUGGUUGCCUGUUGAUCGAGUUUGCAUACAGCAGAGGUGUACUUGGAUCAAGAAGACAACAAGAAAAACACACAGUUAGUAACAUAAAUGAAAAUUGAAAAAGAACUUGAUCUAAGCAAGUCUGAAAUCUCAAAUGUAAUAAACAAACACCCAAUUGGCAAUGGUGCCAAAUUGAUAAUAGGUUUUUAGUCAAUUAUCCUAAAACACCAAUCAUGUCGUUGUAGUAUUUUAGGUUGUCAAUCCAAAUGGGUGUGAUGCUAGCAAUCAAGAUGCAAUCAGAGUUCACAGAGUCAAGCCAAGCAAUAACAGGACUUGGAGUGUUCUAGUAGUCCUAAGUGAACAUGCAGGAAACAGAAAAAUCAAGCAGAAAUAAUAAAACACUCGACCAACACAACUCGUUGCAUAGACCUGGGUGUGGUCGAGUGACUGGUCGAGUAACAGAUAAAAAAUAUAACAGGGAUACUCGAUUGCACAGUCUGUUGCCAGACAACUGGGUGGUCGAGUAUCAGGUCGAGUAGCAGGAGAAAAAUACAAAAACUAAGCAACAACUAACAAGAUGCAGCAAACAACAAUAGAGUAAACAAAGAAAUCAAUUAGAUAAAGAAUUCACGAGGAUGGGGUAAUUGAGUAGUUUCGUUUCCUCAGUUUACAGGUGAUUGACAUGUUAAAUAAAUUAUCCCUAGACAACAAGUUCGAUAACCAAAUCUAAGUGCCACCGCAACAGAGACCCUCAAGUUCAACCAGUCCAGACUCAAUCACCAUUGACGAGAGCUAACCUAACAGGCAUUAUGAAUCAACAAGUUAAAGCCAAAACGCUCCCUGCAACCAAUACCUUGGUACAGAGCCACAAAUCUCUGGAAUUAGUGGUUCAAACAUUUCAUCGAACACCUUUUGGGCGCGGAAAUGUCUGGGCUCAAAUUCCAGUUGAUCAGAAAGCAAUAGGCAUUAAGAACAACUAAUCCAGAAGGAAUCUAUAAAUCAAACUCAACCACCUAGCAUACUGAGAAUUCUAAACUACUCUAACCCAUCCUCAGUAACCUAAUCACUACUCAGAAAUCAUAGCAGAAAGCAUAAACAAUGAAUACAAUGGAAACAUGAUAGC